UUUCCGUAGGUGAACCUGCGGAAGGAUCAUUAAAAUAUUUUGAGUCGGCGCAUGGCGUUGGGGUACAAGGCUUCGGCCCCGGCUUCGGCCGCCCCUCGCCGCCAACACUCUCAACCCUUUGUGAAAUUUCCCUUGCUUGGGCAGCGCACCAAUCAGUCUGCCCGAGAAACCAGAAACUAUCGACGAAACCUUUGUCCGAUGCAAACAGUCUAAUGACUUUAAAACUUUCAACAACGGAUCUCUUGGUUCUC
This 251-nucleotide unclassified non-coding RNA is filed under the name plant metagenome. RNAcentral's name for it is "partial contains small subunit ribosomal RNA, internal transcribed spacer 1, and 5.8S ribosomal RNA". The record is from RNAcentral.